This 439-nucleotide ribosomal RNA is filed under the name uncultured bacterium. RNAcentral describes it as "partial 16S ribosomal RNA". It matches the Rfam family "Bacterial small subunit ribosomal RNA", at positions 339 to 795 of the family's 1533-position model. The record is from RNAcentral.
CUACGGGUUGCACCAGUGAGGAAUAUUGCACAAUGGGGGGAACCCUGAUGCAGCAACGCCGCGUGGAGGAUGACGCAUUUCGGUGUGUAAACUCCUUUUAUAUGUCAAGAAAAUGACGGUAGCAUAUGAAUAAGCACCGGCUAACUCCGUGCCAGCAGCCGCGGUAAUACGGAGGGUGCAAGCGUUACUCGGAAUCACUGGGCGUAAAGGACGCGUAGGCGGGUUGGAAAGUCAGGUGUGAAAUCCUACAGCUUAACUGUAGAACUGCACUUGAAACUUCUAAUCUAGAGUAUGGGAGGGGGAGAUGGAAUUAGUGGUGUAGGGGUAAAAUCCGUAGAUACCACUAGGAAUACCUAAAGCGAAGGCGAUCUCCUGGAACAUUACUGACGCUAAGGCGUGAAAGCGUGGGGAGCAAACGGGAUUAGAUACCCCCGUAGUC